Molecule: ribosomal RNA, 379 nt
Filed under: uncultured soil bacterium
Lineage: Bacteria
Description: bacterial SSU rRNA
Rfam family: Bacterial small subunit ribosomal RNA
Source: RNAcentral
AGAUUGAACGCUGGCGGCAUGCUUUACACAUGCAAGUCGAACGGUAACAGGCCGCAAGGUGCUGACGAGUGGCGAACGGGUGAGUAAUGCAUCGGAACGUGCCCAGUCGUGGGGGAUAACGCAGCGAAAGCUGUGCUAAUACCGCAUACGAUCUAUGGAUGAAAGCGGGGGACCGAAAGGCCUCGCGCGAUUGGAGCGGCCGAUGUCAGAUUAGCUAGUUGGUGGGGUAAAGGCCCACCAAGGCGACGAUCUGUAGCUGGUCUGAGAGGACGACCAGCCACACUGGAACUGAGACACGGUCCAGACUCCUACGGGAGCAGCAGUGGGGAAUUUUGGACAAUGGGCGCAAGCCUGAUCCAGCAAUGCCGCGUGCAGGAAG